GCAAGUCGAACGGUAAUUACGCUUUCGGGUGUAAACGAGUGGCGCACGGGUGCGUAACGCGUAUGCAACCUACCCUAUACAGGGGGAUAGCCCGUGGAAACAUGGAUUAAUACCCCAUAGUAUUGUAAAAUCACCUGAUUUAACAAUUAAAGAUUUAUCGGUAUAGGAUGGGCAUGCGUCUGAUUAGUUAGUUGGUGAGGUAACGGCUCACCAAGGCAACGAUCAGUAGGGGGUCUGAGAGGAUGAUC
RNAcentral lists this ribosomal RNA (248 nucleotides) under uncultured bacterium. RNAcentral's name for it is "partial 16S ribosomal RNA". It matches the Rfam family "Bacterial small subunit ribosomal RNA", at positions 57 to 305 of the family's 1533-position model. The record is from RNAcentral.